This 404-nucleotide ribosomal RNA is filed under the name uncultured bacterium. Its description in RNAcentral is "bacterial SSU rRNA". It matches the Rfam family "Bacterial small subunit ribosomal RNA", at positions 29 to 424 of the family's 1533-position model. The record is from RNAcentral.
AACGAACGCUGGCGGCGCGCCUAAUACAUGCAAGUCGAGCGAGAAGACGUAGCAAUACGUUUGUAAAGCGGCGAACGGGUGAGGAAUACAUGGGUAACCUACCCUCGAGUGGGGAAUAACUAGCCGAAAGGUUAGCUAAUACCGCGUACGCUCCUUGGACUUCGGUUCAGGGAGGAAAGCGAUACCGUGGGUAUCGCGCUCUUGGAUGGGCUCAUGUCCUAUCAGCUUGUUGGUGGGGUAACGGCUCACCAAGGCUUCGACGGGUAGCUGGUCUGAGAGGACGAUCAGCCACACUGGCACUGCGACACGGGCCAGACUCCUACGGGAGCAGCAGUAAGGAAUAUUGCGCAAUGGGCGAAAGCCUGACGCAGCGACGCCGCGUGGGGGAUGAAGGUCUUCGGAUU